CAGGACGAACGCUGGCGGCGUGCUUAACACAUGCAAGUCGAACGGUAAGGCCCUUCGGGGUACACGAGUGGCGAACGGGUGAGUAACACGUGGGUGAUCUGCCCUGCACUUCGGGAUAAGCUUGGGAAACUGGGUCUAAUACCGGAUAGGACCACGGUCUGCAUGGAUUGUGGUGGAAAGCUUUUGCGGUGUGGGAUGGGCCCGCGGCCUAUCAGCUUGUUGGUGGGGUGAUGGCCUACCAAGGCGACGACGGGUAGCCGGCCUGAGAGGGUGUCCGGCCACACUGGGACUGAGAUACGGCCCAGACUCCUACGGGAGGCAGCAGUGGGGAAUAUUGCACAAUGGGCGCAAGCCUGAUGCAGCGACGCCGCGUGGGGGAUGACGGCCUUCGGGUUGUAAACCUCUUUCAGCAGGGACGAAGGGUGACUGACGGUACCUGUAGAAGAAGCACCGGCCAACUACGUG
This 465-nucleotide ribosomal RNA is filed under the name uncultured bacterium. Its description in RNAcentral is "bacterial SSU rRNA". It matches the Rfam family "Bacterial small subunit ribosomal RNA", at positions 25 to 507 of the family's 1533-position model. The record is from RNAcentral.